CGGGGUGAGUAACACGUGGGUAACCUGCCUCAAACAGGGGAAUAGCCUUCCGAAAGGAAGAUUAAUACCGCAUAACAUAGUUUAGCCGCAUGGCUAGAUUAUCAAAGGAGUAAUCCGGUUUGAGAUGGACCCGCGGCGCAUUAGCUAGUUGGUGAGGUAACGGCUCACCAAGGCGACGAUGCGUAGCCGACCUGAGAGGGUGAUCGGCCACAUUGGAACUGAGAUACGGUCCAA
RNAcentral lists this ribosomal RNA (234 nucleotides) under uncultured bacterium. RNAcentral's name for it is "partial 16S ribosomal RNA". It matches the Rfam family "Bacterial small subunit ribosomal RNA", at positions 104 to 334 of the family's 1533-position model. The record is from RNAcentral.